RNAcentral lists this ribosomal RNA (2758 nucleotides) under Escherichia coli. Its description in RNAcentral is "bacterial LSU rRNA". It matches the Rfam family "Bacterial large subunit ribosomal RNA". Lineage: Bacteria; Pseudomonadati; Pseudomonadota; Gammaproteobacteria; Enterobacterales; Enterobacteriaceae. The record is from RNAcentral.
GGGUUGUGAGGUUAAGCGACUAAGCGUACACGGUGGAUGCCCUGGCAGUCAGAGGCGAUGAAGGACGUGCUAAUCUGCGAUAAGCGUCGGUAAGGUGAUAUGAACCGUUAUAACCGGCGAUUUCCGAAUGGGGAAACCCAGUGUGAUUCGUCACACUAUCAUUAACUGAAUCCAUAGGUUAAUGAGGCGAACCGGGGGAACUGAAACAUCUAAGUACCCCGAGGAAAAGAAAUCAACCGAGAUUCCCCCAGUAGCGGCGAGCGAACGGGGAGCAGCCCAGAGCCUGAAUCAGUGUGUGUGUUAGUGGAAGCGUCUGGAAAGGCGCGCGAUACAGGGUGACAGCCCCGUACACAAAAAUGCACAUACUGUGAGCUCGAUGAGUAAGGCGUGUGACUGCGUACCUUUUGUAUAAUGGGUCAGCGACUUAUAUUCUGUAGCAAGGUUAACCGAAUAGGGGAGCCGAAGGGAAACCGAGUCUUAACUGGGCGUUAAGUUGCAGGGUAUAGACCCGAAACCCGGUGAUCUAGCCAUGGGCAGGUUGAAGGUUGGGUAACACUAACUGGAGGACCGAACCGACUAAUGUUGAAAAAUUAGCGGAUGACUUGUGGCUGGGGGUGAAAGGCCAAUCAAACCGGGAGAUAGCUGGUUCUCCCCGAAAGCUAUUUAGGUAGCGCCUCGUGAAUUCAUCUCCGGGGGUAGAGCACUGUUUCGGCAAGGGGGUCAUCCCGACUUACCAACCCGAUGCAAACUGCGAAUACCGGAGAAUGUUAUCACGGGAGACACACGGCGGGUGCUAACGUCCGUCGUGAAGAGGGAAACAACCCAGACCGCCAGCUAAGGUCCCAAAGUCAUGGUUAAGUGGGAAACGAUGUGGGAAGGCCCAGACAGCCAGGAUGUUGGCUUAGAAGCAGCCAUCAUUUAAAGAAAGCGUAAUAGCUCACUGGUCGAGUCGGCCUGCGCGGAAGAUGUAACGGGGCUAAACCAUGCACCGAAGCUGCGGCAGCGACGCUGAUGCGUUGUUGGGUAGGGGAGCGUUCUGUAAGCCUGUGAAGGUGUGCUGUGAGGCAUGCUGGAGGUAUCAGAAGUGCGAAUGCUGACAUAAGUAACGAUAAAGCGGGUGAAAAGCCCGCUCGCCGGAAGACCAAGGGUUCCUGUCCAACGUUAAUCGGGGCAGGGUGAGUCGACCCCUAAGGCGAGGCCGAAAGGCGUAGUCGAUGGGAAACAGGUUAAUAUUCCUGUACUUGGUGUUACUGCGAAGGGGGGACGGAGAAGGCUAUGUUGGCCGGGCGACGGUUGUCCCGGUUUAAGCGUGUAGGCUGGUUUUCCAGGCAAAUCCGGAAAAUCAAGGCUGAGGCGUGAUGACGAGGCACUACGGUGCUGAAGCAACAAAUGCCCUGCUUCCAGGAAAAGCCUCUAAGCAUCAGGUAACAUCAAAUCGUACCCCAAACCGACACAGGUGGUCAGGUAGAGAAUACCAAGGCGCUUGAGAGAACUCGGGUGAAGGAACUAGGCAAAAUGGUGCCGUAACUUCGGGAGAAGGCACGCUGAUAUGUAGGUGAAGUCCCUCGCGGAUGGAGCUGAAAUCAGUCGAAGAUACCAGCUGGCUGCAACUGUUUAUUAAAAACACAGCACUGUGCAAACACGAAAGUGGACGUAUACGGUGUGACGCCUGCCCGGUGCCGGAAGGUUAAUUGAUGGGGUCAGCGCAAGCGAAGCUCUUGAUCGAAGCCCCGGUAAACGGCGGCCGUAACUAUAACGGUCCUAAGGUAGCGAAAUUCCUUGUCGGGUAAGUUCCGACCUGCACGAAUGGCGUAAUGAUGGCCAGGCUGUCUCCACCCGAGACUCAGUGAAAUUGAACUCGCUGUGAAGAUGCAGUGUACCCGCGGCAAGACGGAAAGACCCCGUGAACCUUUACUAUAGCUUGACACUGAACAUUGAGCCUUGAUGUGUAGGAUAGGUGGGAGGCUUUGAAGUGUGGACGCCAGUCUGCAUGGAGCCGGCCUUGAAAUACCACCCUUUAAUGUUUGAUGUUCUAACGUUGACCCGUUAUCCGGGUUGCGGACAGUGUCUGGUGGGUAGUUUGACUGGGGCGGUCUCCUCCUAAAGAGUAACGGAGGAGCACGAAGGUUGGCUAAUCCUGGUCGGACAUCAGGAGGUUAGUGCAAUGGCAUAAGCCAGCUUGACUGCGAGCGUGACGGCGCGAGCAGGUGCGAAAGCAGGUCAUAGUGAUCCGGUGGUUCUGAAUGGAAGGGCCAUCGCUCAACGGAUAAAAGGUACUCCGGGGAUAACAGGCUGAUACCGCCCAAGAGUUCAUAUCGACGGCGGUGUUUGGCACCUCGAUGUCGGCUCAUCACAUCCUGGGGCUGAAGUAGGUCCCAAGGGUAUGGCUGUUCGCCAUUUAAAGUGGUACGCGAGCUGGGUUUAGAACGUCGUGAGACAGUUCGGUCCCUAUCUGCCGUGGGCGCUGGAGAACUGAGGGGGGCUGCUCCUAGUACGAGAGGACCGGAGUGGACGCAUCACUGGUGUUCGGGUUGUCAUGCCAAUGGCACUGCCCGGUAGCUAAAUGCGGAAGAGAUAAGUGCUGAAAGCAUCUAAGCACGAAACUUGCCCCGAGAUGAGUUCUCCCUGACUCCUUGAGAGUCCUGAAGGAACGUUGAAGACGACGACGUUGAUAGGCCGGGUGUGUAAGCGCAGCGAUGCGUUGAGCUAACCGGUACUAAUGAACCGUGAGGCUUAACCUUACAACGCCGAAGCUGUU